Molecule: ribosomal RNA, 962 nt
Filed under: Amiota lambirensis
Lineage: Eukaryota; Metazoa; Arthropoda; Insecta; Diptera; Drosophilidae
Description: partial 28S ribosomal RNA
Rfam family: Eukaryotic large subunit ribosomal RNA
Source: RNAcentral
AUUAAUUAGGGGAGGAAAAGAAACUAACAAGGAUUUUCUUAGUAGCGGCGAGCGAAAAGAAAUCAGUUCAGCACCAAGUCACUUUGUCUUUAUGGCAAAUGUGAGAUGCGGUGUAUGGAACGUCUUAAAUCUAGUAUGAGAAAUUAACGAUUUAAGUCCUUCUUAAAUGAGGCCACUUACCCAUAGAGGGUGCCAGGCCCGUAUUACGUUAAUGAUUACUAGAAGGCGUUUCCAAAGAGUCAUGUUGCUUGAUAGUGCAGCACUAAGUGGGUGGUAAACUCCAUCUAAAACUAAAUAUAACCAUGAGACCGAUAGUAAACAAGUACCGUGAGGGAAAGUUGAAAAGAACUCUGAAUAGAGAGUUAAAUAGUACGUGAAACUGCUUAGAGGUUAAGCCCGAUGAACCUGAAUAUCCAUUUUGGAAAAUUCAUCAUUAGAAUUAUAAUAUUUAAAAAAUAUUAUUAAUGAUAGUGUGCAUUUUUUCCAAAUAAGGACAUUGUAAUCUAUUAUCAUGUUUAUAUAUUUAUCAAAAAAUCAUUAGCUUAUGUUUAUUUAAAUUAUUAUGCUUGCAUUUUAACAUAAAAUAAAUGCUUAUUGAUUUGAUAAAGUGAUGAUAGAUUUAUUAUAAAUACAGUGCGUUAAUUUUUUUAUAAAAUUAUAUAAUGGCAUAUUAAUCAUUGAUUUUUAUGUUUAUUAUAUGCAUUUGUAUGAUUAACAAUGCGAAAGAUUCAGGAUACCUUCGGGACCCGUCUUGAAACACGGACCAAGGAGUCUAACAUAUUUGCAAGUCAUUGGGAUUUUAUAAACCUAAUGGCAUAAUUAACUUGACUUGUUUAAAUGGGAUUAGUUUUAUAAUCUAUUUUUAAAUAGUUAUUUAACACAAUCCCGGGGCGUUCUAAAUAGUUAUGUAUAAUAAAAUUUAUUUUAUUUAUACCUCUAACUGGAACGUACCUUGAGCAUAU